CCUACGGGUGGCAGCAGUGGGGAAUAUUGGGCAAUGGGCGCAAGCCUGACCCAGCAACGCCGCGUGAAGGAAGAAGGCUUUCGGGUUGUAAACUUCUUUUCUCAGGGACGAAGCAAGUGACGGUACCUGAGGAAUAAGCCACGGCUAACUACGUGCCAGCAGCCGCGGUAAUAAGUAGGUGGCAAGCGUUAUCCGGAUUUACUGGGUGUAAAGGGCGUGUAGGCGGGGACGAAAGUCAGAUGUGAAAACCACGGGCUCAACCUGUGGCCUGCGUUUGAAACUGUGUUUCUUGAGUACGGGGGAGGAAGGCGGAAUUCCUAGUGUAGCGGUGAAAUGCGUAGAUAUUAGGAGGAAAACCAGUGGCGAAGGCGUUCUGCUGGA
RNAcentral lists this ribosomal RNA (381 nucleotides) under uncultured bacterium. RNAcentral's name for it is "partial 16S ribosomal RNA". It matches the Rfam family "Bacterial small subunit ribosomal RNA", at positions 338 to 733 of the family's 1533-position model. The record is from RNAcentral.